Long non-coding RNA from Pieris brassicae (large cabbage white), 477 nucleotides. RefSeq lists it as uncharacterized. The record is from RefSeq and is a predicted model, not a curated record. The transcript has 4 exons. Lineage: Eukaryota; Metazoa; Arthropoda; Insecta; Lepidoptera; Pieridae.
AAUUUGUUAGCCGUAACUGUAACAGUCGUCAGUGUAUCAAAAAAAUAAUUAGUAUUACAACAAAUCAGCAAUUGUUUAUUGAUAUAUAUUAAGCAUACUAAUAUAUUUUAUUUCUAAAGUUAAUAGACUAUUUAAAAUGUCUGUACAACAAUUACAGAUCGAAUUACAAAACGAACUAGUAACAAUGAAUCAACUGUCACAGUUGAUAACGUCAGAGUUGAGGCAGAUUAAAGAAUUAACAAACCCCGGGGGAGAAUUGGAGAAUAACGUGAAACAGAAUGUUUCUCUUAUGAAGGAGUUGGCUACAUUAAAAAAUAUUAAUUUAUCAAGCAUUCCACCUUUUGAUCGAUGGGGCAGAGGGCGUCCACAGUGAGUUUUCAUCGCGUUCAGUCUUAAGCCUCGUGUUUCACCUCGCUCCAAGUCUUUCCUCCUCUCUUUGCCUCAUCUGCAACUGUUCGGCGCCAGGUUUAUUUGAGA